This 439-nucleotide ribosomal RNA is filed under the name uncultured Nitrospira sp. RNAcentral describes it as "bacterial SSU rRNA". It matches the Rfam family "Bacterial small subunit ribosomal RNA", at positions 338 to 777 of the family's 1533-position model. The record is from RNAcentral. Lineage: Bacteria; Pseudomonadati; Nitrospirota; Nitrospiria; Nitrospirales; Nitrospiraceae.
CCUACGGGGGGCAGCAGUAAGGAAUAUUGCGCAAUGGGCGAAAGCCUGACGCAGCGACGCCGCGUGGGGGAUGAAGGUCUUCGGAUUGUAAACCCCUUUCGGGAGGGAAGAUGGGAUGGGGUAACCCAUUCGGACGGUACCUCCAGAAGCAGCCACGGCUAACUUCGUGCCAGCAGCCGCGGUAAUACGAAGGUGGCAAGCGUUGUUCGGAUUUACUGGGCGUACAGGGAGCGUAGGCGGUUGGGUAAGCCCUCCGUGAAAUCUCCAGGCUUAACCUGGAAAGUGCAGAGGGGACUGCUCAGCUAGAGGAUGGGAGAGGAGCGCGGAAUUCCCGGUGUAGCGGUGAAAUGCGUAGAGAUCGGGAGGAAGGCCGGUGGCGAAGGCGGCGCUCUGGAACAUUUCUGACGCUGAGGCUCGAAAGCGUGGGGAGCAAACAGGA